Molecule: ribosomal RNA, 547 nt
Filed under: uncultured Actinomycetes bacterium
Lineage: Bacteria; Bacillati; Actinomycetota; Actinomycetes
Description: bacterial SSU rRNA
Rfam family: Bacterial small subunit ribosomal RNA
Source: RNAcentral
ACGCAUAAAGUUCCCCGCCUGGGGAGUACGGUCGCAAGACUAAAACUCAAAGGAAUUGACGGGGGCCCGCACAAGCGGCGGAGCAUGCGGAUUAAUUCGAUGCAACGCGAAGAACCUUACCAAGGCUUGACAUAUAGAGGAAACGUGCAGUGAUGUACGCCCCGCAAGGUCUCUAUACAGGUGGUGCAUGGUUGUCGUCAGCUCGUGUCGUGAGAUGUUGGGUUAAGUCCCGCAACGAGCGCAACCCUCGUCCUAUGUUGCCAGCACGUAAUGGUGGGAACUCAUGGGAGACUGCCGGGGUCAACUCGGAGGAAGGUGGGGAUGACGUCAAAUCAUCAUGCCCCUUACGUCUUGGGCUUCACGCAUGCUACAAUGGCCGGUACAAAGGGUUGCGAUACCGCAAGGUGGAGCUAAUCCCAAAAAGCCGGUCUCAGUUCGGAUUAGGGUCUGCAACUCGACCCUAUGAAGUUGGAGUCGCUAGUAAUCGCAGAUCAGCAACGCUGCGGUGAAUACGUUCCCGGGCAUUGUACACACCGCCCGUCAAGUC